AUUGGUUGUCUUUUCUGGUUGAACUGAAGUUUCAACACAUUUUCUAAUACUGGUUUUAAAAAUAGCGAUAUUUUUGAGAUUCCAUUUUGAAAUAACCUAAAGUGAGAGGUUGUAAUCUGAAUAAAAAGAAAAAAGGCCAUUCUUGAACAUGGGGGGAGACAUUCGUAAUAAUCUGCUAGAGAACCUGUUUGGAUUUAAGUCUAACUUUUGUAUGACUGAAGCCUUUAGUAAGAUGUCUAGUGUUUUACAAUGUAAUCAUUUCUGUCCUCCAAAUUCAUAAUCAUUCUAUAAAUAGGCCCGUUAUAUUUUGUCUGGCUCGUCGUUACAAAUAAAAUGGAAUAUUAUACUGAGAGGACUUCCUGUUUGUUUUCAUCUUGCUGCAAGUCUCCCUGGGAGGACUGUUCUUCAGGUCAGAUAUCCUCCUCUCCCUGAGAGGACAGUUCUUCAGGUCUGAUAUCCUCCUCUCCCUGGGAGGACUGUUCUUCAGGUCUGAUAUCCUCCUCUCCCUGAGAGGACAGUUCUUCAGGUCUGAUAUCCUCCUCUCCCUGGGAGGACUGUUCUUCAGGUCUGAUAUCCUCCUCUCCCUGAGAGGACAGUUCUUCAGGUCCGAUAUCCUCCUCUCCCUGGGAGGACUGUUCUUCAGGUCUGAUAUCCUCCUCUCCCUGAGAGGACUGUUCUUCAGGUCUGAUAUCCUCCUCUCCCUGGGAGGACUGUUCUUCAGGUCUGAUAUCCUCCUCUCCCUGGGAGGACUGUUCUUCAGGUCUGAUAUCCUCCUCUCCCUGGGAGGACUGUUCUUCAGGUCUGAUAUCCUCCUCUCCCUGGGAGGACUGUUCUUCAGGUCUGAUAUCCUCCUCUCCCUGGGAGGACUGUUAUUCAGGUCUGAUAUCCUCCUCUCCCUGAGAGGACUGUUCUUCAGGUCUGAUAUCCUCCUCUCCCUGGGAGGACUGUUCUUCAGGUCUGAUAUCCUCCUGAUAUCCUCC
Molecule: long non-coding RNA, 980 nt
Organism: Oncorhynchus keta (chum salmon)
Lineage: Eukaryota; Metazoa; Chordata; Actinopteri; Salmoniformes; Salmonidae
Exons: 4
Source: RefSeq, a predicted model, not a curated record